This 519-nucleotide ribosomal RNA is filed under the name uncultured bacterium. RNAcentral's name for it is "bacterial SSU rRNA". It matches the Rfam family "Bacterial small subunit ribosomal RNA", at positions 8 to 518 of the family's 1533-position model. The record is from RNAcentral.
AGAGUUUGAUUCUGGCUCAGGAUGAACGCUAGCUACAGGCUUAACACAUGCAAGUCGAGGGGCAGCAUUGGAGUAGCAAUACUUCAGAUGGCGACCGGCGCACGGGUGAGUAACACGUAUCCAACCUGCCGCUUACUCGGGGAUAGCCUUUCGAAAGAAAGAUUAAUACCCGAUGGUAUAAAGAGUUCGCAUGUUCUCUUUAUUAAAGAAUUUCGGUAAGCGAUGGGGAUGCGUUCCAUUAGAUAGUUGGCGGGGUAACGGCCCACCAAGUCUACGAUGGAUAGGGGUUCUGAGAGGAAGGUCCCCCACAUUGGAACUGAGACACGGUCCAAACUCCUACGGGAGGCAGCAGUGAGGAAUAUUGGUCAAUGGACGCGAGUCUGAACCAGCCAAAGUAGCGUGAAGGAUGACUGCCCUAUGGGUUGUAAACUUCUUUUAUAAGGGAAUAAAGUGAGGGACGUGUCCCUUUUUGUAUGUACCUUAUGAAUAAGGAUCGGCUAACUCCGUGCCAGCCGCCGC